Molecule: ribosomal RNA, 478 nt
Filed under: uncultured bacterium
Lineage: Bacteria
Description: partial 16S ribosomal RNA
Rfam family: Bacterial small subunit ribosomal RNA
Source: RNAcentral
GACGAACGCUGGCGGCGUGCUUAACACAUGCAAGUCGAACGGUAAGGCCCUUCGGGGUACACGAGUGGCGAACGGGUGAGUAACACGUGGGUGAUCUGCCCUGCACUUCGGGAUAAGCCUGGGAAACUGGGUCUAAUACCGGAUAGGACUCCUGGCUUCAUGGUUGGGGGUGGAAAGCUUUUGCGGUGUGGGAUGGGCCCGCGGCCUAUCAGCUUGUUGGUGGGGUAAUGGCCUACCAAGGCGACGACGGGUAGCCGGCCUGAGAGGGUGACCGGUCACACUGGGAGUGAGAUACGACCCAGACUCCUACGGGAGGCAGCAGUGGGGAAUAUUGCACAAUGGGCGCAAGCCUGAUGCAGCGACGCCGCGUGAGGUAUGACGGCCUUCGGGUUGUAAACCUCUUUCAGCUAUGACGAAGCGCAAGUGACGGUAGUAGCAGAAGAAGGACCGGCCAACUACGUGCCAGCCGCCGCUGUAA